GAUGAAGAACGUAGCGAAAUGCGAUAAGUAAUGUGAAUUGCAGAAUUCAGUGAAUCAUCGAAUCUUUGAACGCACCUUGCACCCUUUGGUAUUCCGAAGGGUAUGCUCGUUUGAGUGUCAUUGUACUCUCACACUUCUAAUUCCUUUCGGGAUUGGGAGCGGUGGACUUGGGUGUUGCUGCUUUAGUUGUGGCUCACCUCAAAUAAGUUAGUGCAACUCUUGGUUGGACAUAGUACGGCGUGAUAAGUGUCUUCGCCGGCGCCUCUGUAAGGAGGGUGGCCGAUCGGGAGCUCUGUGCUUCAAACCGUCUUCGGACAAUCUUUGACAACUUGACCUCAAAUCGAGUAGGACUACCCGCUGAACUUAAGCAUAUCAAGAAGCGGAGGA
Molecule: unclassified non-coding RNA, 387 nt
Filed under: soil metagenome
Description: partial contains 5.8S ribosomal RNA, internal transcribed spacer 2, and large subunit ribosomal RNA
Rfam family: 5.8S ribosomal RNA (bases 1-120)
Source: RNAcentral